This 265-nucleotide non-coding RNA is filed under the name Heterocephalus glaber (naked mole-rat). RNAcentral's name for it is "Voltage-gated potassium-channel Kv1.4 IRES". It matches the Rfam family "Voltage-gated potassium-channel Kv1.4 IRES". Rfam says of the family: This family represents the Kv1.4 voltage-gated potassium-channel internal ribosome entry site (IRES). This region has been shown to mediate internal ribosome entry in cells derived from brain, heart, and skeletal muscle, tissues known to express Kv1.4 mRNA species. Lineage: Eukaryota; Metazoa; Chordata; Mammalia; Rodentia; Bathyergidae. The record is from Rfam by way of RNAcentral.
GAAGUCUGAGAAUCGUGAGGCUGUCUAGACCAGCGGAGCUCUGGAGAGCAGUGCUGAGCCCCCGAGCAGAGAGAACACAGGGGUGUGCUGAUUUAAAAACAGAAAAUGCAAAGUUGGACUGAAAAUAUCCUUAGUCUUCCAAGCAAUCUGCUUAAGAGUUCCAAACUUACCUUCGUUUGGUGAGCGAAGGAGCUGCCCUAUUUUCUCUCCUCCUUCCUUCCUCUUUUACAGCUGGAACCAGCCGUUUCCCAAGGCCACCACCAUG